This is a small nuclear RNA of Mesocricetus auratus (golden hamster), 159 nucleotides long. Its record names the gene U1. It matches the Rfam family "U1 spliceosomal RNA". Rfam says of the family: U1 is a small nuclear RNA (snRNA) component of the spliceosome (involved in pre-mRNA splicing). Lineage: Eukaryota; Metazoa; Chordata; Mammalia; Rodentia; Cricetidae. The record is from Ensembl.
ACAGAUAUCUUUUAGCGGAUACCAUGAUCACAAAGGUAGUUUUCCCAGGGCGAGGCAUACACAUUGUACUCCAGAUGUACUAGCCCUGUGAUUUCCCCAAAUUUGGGAAACUUGACUACAUAAUUUGUGGUAGUGGGGGACUUCGUUCAAGCUCUCCCA